Molecule: long non-coding RNA, 397 nt
Filed under: Solanum tuberosum (potato)
Lineage: Eukaryota; Viridiplantae; Streptophyta; Magnoliopsida; Solanales; Solanaceae
Description: long non-coding RNA (STUB_LNC007729)
Source: RNAcentral
CGGGGCUGCUCCCACCAAAUGUCGGGCAUGCACUGAUAGUGUAAUGAGAAAAGAAAAUGAUUAGAAGGCGACUGAUAAAACUUGUUUCCACAUUAAAGAAGGAAGAGAUGAACGAUACUUAUCAAGCUAUAAGUGACUGUACAUGUAAGCAGAAUGCAAGUGCAACAAACAUAAUUGCCACAUCACAGAGAAAACCAGGAAAAGGCUAUGACAAUUGAAGAUUUCAGCCUCACAUGAAAAUAUAGAAAACUUCUAACCAAAAAACUCCACAAUUGUGGCGCAAACCUCUCCAUAUUUACUAAUGCCACUGCACCAUCAGAUGUUGAUGGCAACACCAUAAAACAGCAGAUAGCAGAAAAAUUCAGUGAAAUAAAUAUGAAGCAGCAAGUAUUACCUU